RNAcentral lists this signal recognition particle RNA (98 nucleotides) under Clostridiales bacterium. RNAcentral's name for it is "signal recognition particle sRNA small type". It matches the Rfam family "Bacterial small signal recognition particle RNA". From Rfam's summary of the family: The signal recognition particle (SRP) is a universally conserved ribonucleoprotein involved in the co-translational targeting of proteins to membranes. Archaeal SRP consists of a 7S RNA and homologues of the eukaryotic SRP19 and SRP54 proteins. In most bacteria, the SRP consists of a 4.5S RNA and the Ffh protein (a homologue of the eukaryotic SRP54 protein). The record is from RNAcentral. Lineage: Bacteria; Bacillati; Bacillota; Clostridia; Eubacteriales.
GUGUGGGUCCUGUACGGCAGAGCACCACGAACCAUGUCAGGCGGGGAACCGAGCAGCAUUAAGAGGAAAGCCUGGGCGAUACAGUCCGCCUGUGCGCC